This is a long non-coding RNA of Papaver somniferum (opium poppy), 638 nucleotides long. RefSeq lists it as uncharacterized. The record is from RefSeq and is a predicted model, not a curated record. The transcript is spliced from 3 exons. NCBI's taxonomy places the organism in Eukaryota, Viridiplantae, Streptophyta, Magnoliopsida, Ranunculales, Papaveraceae.
CUAUUGUUAUUCCAGAAACGGCUCCCUCCUUCUCCUCCUCCCCUGCUCGUACUCUUGCGAUUUUGUACUUUCUUCUUCUUCUUCUUCAUCGUCAUUAUCAUCAUCACAGGUCAGCUGAUCGACUUCAAUUCCUCUUUUCUCUAGUUCUACAUCUUCCAACAAAGAGACACGGUGAUAAGAUCUACGACACAGCGAAGUUUGAUGGAUGCAUUCACAUACUCAUUAUUUCUGCAUUACCCUAGACAUCGAUAGGGGUUGAAUGCAAAUGAGUUUUUAUCAAAGAAGAGAAAGUUGAUCUGUCGGCUCCACCAGGUUUUGUCUUACGUACAUCCGUCACUCUAAAGAAGAUGGAUAAAGGUGAAGUUUUGAUGAGUAAUAUGGUCUAUGUGGGGGUACAAAAGAGUGUCUGAGGCUUAAGAUAUCUCUUAGGUACAGACCAUGGGCACACUACAGUAAAUUAGGUGAUAGCUCGGAUGAGGAAUCUAUAGAUCAACCUCAUCGGGUUCAUCCUUGUACUGAAAGUUCGAAAAUUCUAACUGGCCUUCACAUUAUGAAAUUCACUAUAAUCAUAUUGUUGUAAUCUGAAUAUUUUUGUUCUUUAUUGUCAGCAUUUUCCUCCGAGGUAGUUCCUUCUUAAA